GUCAGAUUGGCCGAGUGGUCUAAGGCGCCAGACUCAAGGAUUAUAAUCUAUAAAGAGUGAUCUGGUCCACAAAUGUGGGCGUGGGUUCGAACCCCACAUCUGACA
Molecule: non-coding RNA, 105 nt
Organism: Potamilus streckersoni
Lineage: Eukaryota; Metazoa; Mollusca; Bivalvia; Unionida; Unionidae
Source: the annotation of a GenBank genome assembly